GCCGACGUACCCCAACUGGCCAGAGGGCCGGCGCUUAGAACGCCGUCAGUGCGGGUUCGAAUCCCGCCGUCGGCA
This 75-nucleotide transfer RNA is filed under the name Pseudonocardia sp. RNAcentral describes it as "tRNA-Leu". It matches the Rfam family "tRNA". Rfam says of the family: Transfer RNA (tRNA) molecules are approximately 80 nucleotides in length. Their secondary structure includes four short double-helical elements and three loops (D, anti-codon, and T loops). Lineage: Bacteria; Bacillati; Actinomycetota; Actinomycetes; Pseudonocardiales; Pseudonocardiaceae. The record is from RNAcentral.